RNAcentral lists this ribosomal RNA (253 nucleotides) under uncultured bacterium. Its description in RNAcentral is "partial 16S ribosomal RNA". It matches the Rfam family "Bacterial small subunit ribosomal RNA", at positions 524 to 776 of the family's 1533-position model. The record is from RNAcentral.
UACGGGGGGGGCAAGCGUUGUUCGGAAUUACUGGGCGUAAAGGGCUCGUAGGCGGCUCGUUAAGUCAGACGUGAAAUCCCUCGGCUUAACCGGGGAACUGCGUCUGAGACUGAAGAGCUUGAAUCCGGGAGAGGGAUGCGGAAUUCCAGGUGUAGCGGUGAAAUGCGUAGAUAUCGGAAGGAACAUCAGUGGCGAAAGCGACUUCCUGGACCAAUACUGACGCUCAUGUGCGAAAGCGUGGGGAGCAAACAGG